This is a long non-coding RNA of Setaria italica (foxtail millet), 535 nucleotides long. RefSeq lists it as uncharacterized. The record is from RefSeq and is a predicted model, not a curated record. Lineage: Eukaryota; Viridiplantae; Streptophyta; Magnoliopsida; Poales; Poaceae. The transcript is spliced from 2 exons.
GUAAAAGAGAUGCUGCGCACAGAAACACACUGGUUCAGUGAAGGCUACAGAUAUCGUUGCUGUCCUGGUGACUGGUGAGUGGUGAACAUUGAUCACGAGGUUCUACUCACAAACCCCCUGCUGCUUGUGCUUCUUCAUCCCCAACUCCACUCACACUGGCACACUCACCUGCUCUCCCAACUCCAUCCACGCUUCCAUCGCCACUGCCAUCGCCCAGAGCUUCUUUUCAGGGGGACAUGCUGGCUAUGGUUCUGAGCUCUGUUGCAACACAUUCAUGAUUGAAGGGAAUAGUUUGUCAAGACAUGCCAACUUCUGGAGUCUAGAGCUAUACAUUUCUUCGCAUCCCAUGGAUGGCCUUGCUUUUUGCGAAUUGAUCAAUAAUGUUAAACACAAUGUGUGUAUUAAACUUUGAGUGUGCUUGUAAUAUUGGUGGUCUGAUGCCUCUCAUUUGAGGGGUUUAAAGUCGGAAUUAUUUCCAUUAUCUAAAAAUAGAAUGAAGAGAUAAUAAAGGAAAUAUUUACUCUGUGUGUAUCAA